UGUUCUGUGGCUUUGUUGAUUAAAGCGCCGAUCUAGCAAAUACGGAGUAGUGGGAUAGAAUCCCACUAGAACGC
Non-coding RNA from Aedes albopictus (Asian tiger mosquito), 74 nucleotides. The record is from Rfam. Lineage: Eukaryota; Metazoa; Arthropoda; Insecta; Diptera; Culicidae.